AUGAACGCUGGCGGCGUGCCUAAUCCCUGCCAGUCGCGCGAACAGACGAGGAGCUUGCUCCUCUGACGUUAGCGGCGGACGGGUGAGUAACACGUGGAUAACCUACCUAUAAGACUGGGAUAACUUCGGGAAACCGGAGCUAAUACCGGAUAAUAUAUUUAACCGCAUGGUUCAAUAGUGAAAGACGGUUUUGCUGUCACUUAUAGAUGGAUCCGCGCCGCAUUAGCUAGUUGGUAAGGUAACGGCUUACCAAGGCAACGAUGCGUAGCCGACCUGAGAGGGUGAUCGGCCACACUGGAACUGAGACACGGUCCAGACUCCUACGGGAGGCAGCAGUAGGGAAUCUUCCGCAAUGGGCGAAAGCCUGACGGAGCAACGCCGCGUGAGUGAUGAAGGUCUUCGGAUCGUAAAACUCUGUUAUUAGGGAAGAACAAAUGUGUAAGUAACUAUGCACGUCUUGACGGUACCUAAUCAGAAAGCCACGGCUAACUACGUG
Molecule: ribosomal RNA, 496 nt
Filed under: uncultured bacterium
Lineage: Bacteria
Description: partial 16S ribosomal RNA
Rfam family: Bacterial small subunit ribosomal RNA
Source: RNAcentral